Molecule: ribosomal RNA, 383 nt
Filed under: uncultured eukaryote
Lineage: Eukaryota
Description: partial 18S ribosomal RNA
Rfam family: Eukaryotic small subunit ribosomal RNA
Source: RNAcentral
CAAUAGCGUAUAUUAAAGUUGUUGCAGUUAAAAAGCUCGUAGUUGGAUUUCUGGUGGGAGCGAUCGGUCUGGCGCUUAGCGCGAGUACUUGCAUCGUCUCCGGCCAUCCUUGGGGAGAGUCUGUCUGGCAUUAGGUUGUCGGGCAGAGGAUCCUCAUCGUUUUCUGUGAAAAAAUUAGAGUGUUCAAAGCAGGCUUAUGCCGUUGAAUAUAUUAGCAUGGAAUAAUAAGAUAGGACUUUGGUACUAUUUUGUUGGUUUGCGCACCAAAGUAAUGAUUAAUAGGGACAGUUGGGGGUAUUCGUAUUCCGUUGUCAGAGGUGAAAUUCUUGGAUUUACGGAAGACGAACUACUGCGAAAGCAUUUACCAAGGAUGUUUUCAUUAA